Molecule: ribosomal RNA, 455 nt
Filed under: Sphingobacterium sp. KB54
Lineage: Bacteria; Pseudomonadati; Bacteroidota; Sphingobacteriia; Sphingobacteriales; Sphingobacteriaceae
Description: bacterial SSU rRNA
Rfam family: Bacterial small subunit ribosomal RNA
Source: RNAcentral
GAUGAACGCUAGCGGCAGGCCUAAUACAUGCAAGUCGAGGGGUAGGGUUAGCUUGCUAACCUGAGACCGGCGCACGGGUGCGUAACGCGUAUGCAAUCUACCUCUAUCUGGGGGAUAGCCCGAAGAAAUUCGGAUUAACACCGCAUAAAAUCACAGUACGGCAUCGUACAAUGAUCAAAUAUUUAUAGGAUAGGGAUGAGCAUGCGUGUCAUUAGUUAGUUGGCGGGGUAACGGCCCACCAAGACCACGAUGACUAGGGGAUCUGAGAGGAUGACCCCCCACACUGGUACUGAGACACGGACCAGACUCCUACGGGAGGCAGCAGUAAGGAAUAUUGGUCAAUGGAGGCAACUCUGAACCAGCCAUGCCGCGUGCAGGAAGACGGCCCUCUGGGUUGUAAACUGCUUUUAUUCGGGAAUAAACCUACUUACGUGUAAGUAGCUGAAUGUACCGAA